This 497-nucleotide ribosomal RNA is filed under the name uncultured bacterium. RNAcentral's name for it is "partial 16S ribosomal RNA". It matches the Rfam family "Bacterial small subunit ribosomal RNA", at positions 28 to 507 of the family's 1533-position model. The record is from RNAcentral.
GAUGAACGCUGGCGGCGUGCCUAAUACAUGCAAGUCGAGCGAACAGACGAGGAGCUUGCUCCUCUGACGUUAGCGGCGGACGGGUGAGUAACACGUGGAUAACCUACCUAUAAGACUGGGAUAACUUCGGGAAACCGGAGCUAAUACCGGAUAAUAUAUUGAACCGCAUGGUUCAAUAGUGAAAGACGGUUUUGCUGUCACUUAUAGAUGGAUCCGCGCCGCAUUAGCUAGUUGGUAAGGUAACGGCUUACCAAGGCAACGAUGCGUAGCCGACCUGAGAGGGUGAUCGGCCACACUGGAACUGAGACACGGUCCAGACUCCUAAGGGAGGCAGCAGUAGGGAAUCUUCCGCAAUGGGCGGAAGCUUGUCGGGGCAACGCCGCGUGAGUGAUGAAGGUCUUCGGAUCGUAAAACUCUGUUAUUAGGGAAGAACAAAUGUGUAAGUAACUAUGCACGUCUUGACGGUACCUGAUCAGAAAGCCACGGCUAACUACGUG